AUUUGGAGAAGAAACAUUUAUGUUCUCCACGUAAACCAUUGAAAUCGGUUAAAUAAAACGUGGUUCUGUUUUUAAAAAUCUCCGGGAAACUUGCGUGUUUUUAGAGCAGUGUGAGCAAACCACGCGGCAGUCGAUGCGACGUCUGUGGCUGCUGAUACAAUCUGGUUUGCAAUGCAUCAUGGAAAUUGUAGUUGAUUUACAUGUACAGUGUUAAAUCCGCUUUGCAAAAAAGACUACUUUUCCCAGAAUGCACCCAGUGACACCAUCCCGCCUACCAGAGGAUCCGGAAGUUGCGUAGCAGCUAUUCAGCAACUCAACGCAGUCGCGGUAAAAUUCAAAUAACUAAGUUAGUUGUUCUAACUUCGACAAUCACGCUGUGUUGGUUUUAUCUUUUGAAGUUUUAAUACAUGAUCAAGUGAAGAACAUCGGAAGCUGCUUCUUGCUGAACAACAGCUGAUCUUUCUGAUGCCACCAAAGCGGAAAAUAAAAUGAAACAGGCGACUAAUGGAUGAAAAUGACCCCGAUGAGGAGGCUACUGCAGGCAUGGCAAGUAGAGAAGUUCACAAGACCUCACAGAACAUCGCAGGCAACAGGAUUUAACUUUACAGUCUCACAGACAGGCAAUACAGUCACCAUGGCAUCAUGAAACACCCAGACCACAGAGAAAAAGCCUCUCAAGUGAUGACCGAUUAAUAAGAUUACGGUGGCUGAGAGGUCUCAACAUUCUGCAACAGAAGAAAAUGGAUGCAAACAGAAAAAAAACCCUGUAAAAUAAGAACAUCUUUAUCACAUGUGCUAAAACACAACCAAAUACAUAAAUGCUCUCCAAAUGUCCGACCAACAAAUAUCUACUCGACAAUGGUGUUCAUUGUUUUAUUUUUAUUAUUAUUUAUUGUUUGCAUUGUAUUUGCAGCAUGUGUGUUGUGAAACUGAUGUCUUGACUUGCUGGUGUUUUUCUUGUUUGCAUGUUUUCUUCUGUUGCAGGACUUUGAGAUCUCUCGGCCAACAUAUUUUUGUUAAUUUUUGUAUCUCAUUAUUUAAGAAUGCCACAUACACAUUUUUGUAACAUUUUAAUUUAUUGCUGUCUUUUUAUUAUUCUUGUAAUGUGAAUUAUAGUUAUAUUUUGUUUUGUCUUACUCUAGUAUUGGCUUGUAUUUUGUUGUUUAUCCUUUUAUCUGGCUGAGAUUUUCUUCCCUUCUCAAUAAAAUAUUGUUCUUUGCAUUUCUGUAGUGUCAUUUUUUUUAUUAUACCUUGUUUUACACAGGAAUAAUUUCUGGUUCAGUUUUGGGGACUCUGGUAUAAUAUUGGCCCAGUUAUGGCUGUUUUCUGCAGCUUCUGGAUAAGAUGUGGCUGAGUUCUGGCCUAAAGGUGGUGGCAGUUUGGCUUUUGUCUGGCUGACAUAUGGGGAGUACGGUGUUGUUUUGGCCCAGUUCUGGGUAAUAUCUGGGUACACUGCAAAGCUCUGGGCAAGUUUUGGUUUGCUCACGGCUUUGAUCUGGUUGACUUACGGCAAACAGCACUUGGGCCAACCUUGGCCCGUAAUUCCAUGCGGUAUGUGGGCCAAAAUCUCAGUCGAAAUUAAGCCAGAUCCGGCCCAAGGCCAAUUUGCUAUCUGGGAUGGAGUUGAGCAA
Molecule: non-coding RNA, 1631 nt
Organism: Pimephales promelas (fathead minnow)
Lineage: Eukaryota; Metazoa; Chordata; Actinopteri; Cypriniformes; Leuciscidae
Source: RefSeq, a predicted model, not a curated record